Long non-coding RNA from Macadamia integrifolia, 2114 nucleotides. RefSeq lists it as uncharacterized. The transcript has 4 exons. NCBI's taxonomy places the organism in Eukaryota, Viridiplantae, Streptophyta, Magnoliopsida, Proteales, Proteaceae. The record is from RefSeq and is a predicted model, not a curated record.
AAUGCAUUCUAAAGGUGUAGGGAAUUUAUUUGAAGUUGGUAUAAUAUAAUACAUCUAUUGGGAACUACCCGACACAGUUCUCCCGAGAGAGACAGGGUUGUUGGGCUGAAAAAGGCCUAUUAUGCCAGGGGAACUGCCCAGCCGGUAGACGUCUAAGCAGCCUACAUUAAGGCUCUUAUCAGGUUUUCAAAAUGAUUCAAAAUGUUUUUUUUUUUGUUUUUCUCUUCGAUUGCAGUGAGUGUGAUAUUAAUGUUAUCAUUGGCAUGGAGGAGAGUGACAUAUUCCAGGUAGUCAAAUUUAGUUUAUUUGCCUCUCUCUCUCUCUAACCCUUGCAGUUUGUGUCUACCUUUAGUUGUUUAGAUACUAAAAGUUAGCGAUAGGGGAUUAGGAAAUAUGACUUUUGAGCAGGUGAAUUUGAGAAGCGGAUUUGGUGACAGAAAUUUUAACCCUUUAGAUCACAACAUGGUUUACUACCCACUCUGACCGAGUUCUUUGGGCAUGAUUCCGUACAACAGUUCGGUGGAAGAACUUGAGGACAUCAUUAGGGAAACACACCGGGUGCUGUAGCUAAUCGUGUAGCCCUAAAAGCAUGUGUACAAGCUGAUAAUGAGGGAUGCGAUCUUGCUCACAAAGGUAAUGAAAUUAUCCUUAAGGAGACCAUAUCCACAAAUGAAGCUGUUAGUGUUUUUUUUCAUUUUGUCCAUUUUUGGUACAAUUUUUUGUUUUCACGAGCUUUUCGUCUUUCUCUAAAAUAGAUAGUUAGAUGCAAAUUUAAAUUCCUAAAUAACUCUAUUGUUUAUUCUUGUAUUUCAGGAUCAGUCGGGGGGUUAUUAUGCAACUGCACUAAGGCACCCUUUUUAUCUUUGACGAAAACCAACUAGAGAGUAGUUAUUGCUUAUGUGCUAAGUUCAAAAUUCUUUGAGAAAUUGAAGCAUUUGAAGCAUGCUUUAAUGUUGUAUGUUAAACCAGAGAUUUGGUAUGGGUUUAAUAAUCUCAGUUCUUAUUCUGAAACUUUUAUUUUUGGGUUUUGUAGGAUGAUGGACCAAGGCCCCCAGGCUUCCAGGAUUCCUUGUCAUCGCCUAAAGCAAGUCCGUCAUCCCCAAAAUCUUCUCCCCUAAAAAACUAUGGGUAGUAAUGGGCUACUCUCAUGAUUCCAACACCAAUUUCCAAGGAGAUAGAGAUGGAACAUUCUCCAUUGGGCAAACUGUGAGAAUCAGAGUUGGUCCUUUAAAGGAUUACUUGUGUCAGAUCAUUGCCAUCUACUGCAAUAUUGUUAUUAUUAUUCUUGGUUUUCUACUGAAGAUUGCUUUAAAGGUUACUUAUAUCGUUUAUGGGUAGGUUAAGUUUAUUUAUAAUAAUUUUCUUAAUGAUUUUGUAGUUAAAUGUGAGCAUCUUUCUGAGGUUCAUGUGAAGACUUGCAAAGUGUUUCAGUAGGGAUCUUGCUUCCAAUGCACAUAUUUAAAAUCAAAUUUGGUCGACAGGUACAACAGCAGGUAAACAUGCUGUAGGAUUUCAAUAGGAUUUCAGCUUGGACAACACCUUGCACCUCUCAUCUUGGGUUGCAUGCAUCCUUAUCUACAGCAGCAGCAGCAGCAUCAUCUCAAUACCACAAAUAAGAGGGCACAGCAGGAGCAGCAGGAAGCAUGUAGCUGCAGCCCCAAGAAAAUAUAUUAACAGCCUCCCUUAUUUGCUUCUCUUUUUCUUCUCCUUCUGCUUCUUGCAGCAGGAAGCAUGUGUCUGCAAGUAAUACUAUAUUUUGAAGCUUAUUGAGUCCAAACCAAGAACUCAUUGAAAAACCCCUCACCACAACAAACUCCUCCUUAACAUAUGUGGAUGCUGAGAGGCCAAUUAUACGAGGAUCAAUAACUUUAGAGGAAUCUAAACAAACCCCUCCAUAACAUUUGGUUCUAUUUGUUUCCCUAAACUGAACCUCAUACCGUGUUCCAUAAGUGCAUUUCAUUUAGGGAUGAUACCCCAUCCUCAACCCGUAGUCCACACCCAUAUUGCAUAUUCUUUGAAAACUAUUAUUUUCCUUAGGGCUAAGGAAAAUCUGACUAAGAUGUCUUUGUUGCUAUUAUCUUGAUGCAAUUUAAGAGUCUUUCUGUUGUUUUAAA